This 264-nucleotide ribosomal RNA is filed under the name uncultured bacterium. Its description in RNAcentral is "partial 16S ribosomal RNA". It matches the Rfam family "Bacterial small subunit ribosomal RNA", at positions 793 to 1055 of the family's 1533-position model. The record is from RNAcentral.
GUCCACGCUGUAAACGAUGAGUGCUAGAUAUCGGAGCUUUAGUUUCGGUGUCGCAGCUAACGCAUUAAGCACUCCGCCUGGGGAGUACGGUCGCAAGAUUAAAACUCAAAGGAAUUGACGGGGGCCCGCACAAGCGGUGGAGCAUGUGGUUUAAUUCGAUGCUACGCGAAGAACCUUACCAACCCUUGACAUCUGGAUCGCGGAUUGCAGAGAUGCUUUCCUUCAGUUCGGCUGGAUCCAAGACAGGUGUUGCAUGGCUGUCGU